This 253-nucleotide ribosomal RNA is filed under the name uncultured bacterium. Its description in RNAcentral is "partial 16S ribosomal RNA". It matches the Rfam family "Bacterial small subunit ribosomal RNA", at positions 524 to 776 of the family's 1533-position model. The record is from RNAcentral.
UACGUAGGUGGCAAGCGUUGUCCGGAUUUACUGGGCGUAAAGAGCGCGCAGGCGGUCGUUCAAGUCGCGUGUGAAAGCCCCCGGCUCAACUGGGGAGGGUCACGCGAUACUGAUCGACUCGAAGGCAGGAGAGGGUAGUGGAAUUCCCGGUGUAGUGGUGAAAUGCGUAGAUAUCGGGAGGAACACCGGUGGCGAAGGCGGGUCUCUGGGCAUUUCCUGACGCUGAGGCGCGAAAGCGUGGGGAGCAAACGGG